Molecule: long non-coding RNA, 4313 nt
Organism: Gallus gallus (chicken)
Lineage: Eukaryota; Metazoa; Chordata; Aves; Galliformes; Phasianidae
Source: Ensembl
CUCGCGGGGCGGUGACCGUCGCCGGCUUUCGAGCACGGCCUCCCGUUGCCCCGAGGGAAGGUCGGUUGGAUGUCCCGAAGAAUUUCUUCUCCGACAGAGCGGCGAUGCGUCGGCUGCCCCAGGAGGCGGGGCGGUCCCCAUCCCUGGAGGCGCGAGACGCGGCACGGGGGGACGUGGGCAGCAUUGGCGGCAGGCGGGCCGUUGGGCUGGAUGACCUUUGAGGUCGCUUCCAACCUCAUGGCUCUCUUUAGACACCCCGGGGGCCAACUCCAUCCUGCACGCUGCUGUCGGCUCUGAGGUCUGAUCGGAGGCCUUCUCCUUUCCCUCGAGGCGCUGCUCGGCCGCUGUGUUGCUGCAGGGGUGCUGCGUGAGCGCAGAGCACAGCCGGCUUUGUCCACCCUGACAGGCUCACCUUUCUUCCUGCCUAGAAACACCGCUGCGGGACUCGCCCCCCCCCCAGGGAAAGCAGAAGCUCCAGCGCGGGGCUGGGGACUAGAAGAGCCCCGUUAUGUGCUACGGAACAAAGGGAACAUCGAGCGAGAAGCCACCUCGCUUCGCAGAGCACCCCGGCUCCCGCUCCAGCUGCUCCGUGCCGGGGGAGCAGCAGCACUGAGCCCCCCCGGGUCCCGCAGAGCUGCAAAGGAGCACGAGGGGCAGGUGCAGAGAGUGCACGCGUAAGGAGGAGCCGGCAGCACCGCCGGACCGCAGGUUGUCAGACAGACCCCGCCAUCCCAUAACGUUAGGGUUGUAGAGAUGCAUCAGCAUCACUCCGGACGGCUUCUCUGCCACCGUAGGCCAACGCUUUGCUCAAGCACAUGAAUCUAACAGACAGAACCCCCCCUUCAACCCGCCGUGCUUUGAAACGCACCCAGCAACACCUGUCCCCAGCAGAGCCAGCCCUGCCCCACGUCGGAGCUGGGUUCCGUCGGGCUGGGUGUGGAGGUGCCGGCCAGCAUCUCUGCACGACAGCGAGCCUGAGAAGCUAAUUAGCGCCCGUUUGCUGCUUUCAGAGAGGAGAUUCUGAGCGCUGUUGGUAAACUCAUUUCAAGGAGUCGCACUCAAUUUGCAGCGACGGAUGCUCAUCGUGGCUUUGUUCCCACAUCUACAAAGAGCAGCGCUGCAGAGGGGCUUUGAUGAUCCCUCUCGUUUGGACAGCUGGCAGGGAGCAGGAUGCACCCAGGAAUAGAAGGGCACACGGGAGCCACGGCGUCCCCUGCACGAGAGCAAACGGAGAGGCUGGACGUCUGUAAAGUGGGGGAUGUGGGGUUCUAUCCUAGUGAUGCAACUGGAAAGUGAAAGCUCUCGCACUGCGUGGGAGAGCAGAAAUCCGCUCUGCGUCUUGAAAUAGUUGCACGUGAAGUCCUGCCCUCAACUCGCGACCUGCAACCUGCACGGCAUGGCUCUCAGGAGCCCAUUGUAGGGGCGGUUGUUGCACUGCUGGGCUCCUCCAGCUCUUGGGGGUCAGCGUGGCAUCGCACGCCCAGGGACGUCGGCGUCAGUGGGAGCCAAGCCCAGCAUCGUCAGCACAGCUGUCAGGGCCCCGGGUGGGCCCUAAUGAGGCCCCCAGGUGCCACAGGGCUGGGCUGCCCUAGCACAGCUGCGCCUUAUCGGCGGCUCAGGGCAGGGCCCGCCCUCAACGCCUCUUAAACCCCCACCAGAGCUUGCUGGGAUCCACUGGGGGCUGCUGGGAGCUCAGGGGCUCAUUCAGGGCUUGCCGCAGCAUGCUGCCAGGCUCCCACACUGCUCUCUCUUUUUGGGGAGGGCGCUGGGCUUCUGCUGGGCUUUUUUGGGGUCUGGUUUCUGCUGGGCUCCUCUGCUCUUUUGGAGUCAGUGUGGGGUGGCCCUGCUGGGCUCUGGCCUUGUUUUCUUCUUUUUGGUGGUGGUAUGGGAUUGCUGUUGGUGCCCCUGCCCUCUUUGGGUCCAGCACAGGGCUGCUCUUGGCUCCCCUCUGCUCCUUAGAGCCUAUGCAGCACUUUUGCAAAGCAGCUCUCCUAGCCCCUUUGUGGGGUUAGUUAAGGGCAGUUUGCAGGUCCUGCAGCAACGGAGGAGAGCAGAACGGAGCUGCGCCCCUUACCCUGGAGCUGCUGGGGGUCAGAAGCAUCGCAAGGGGCUGCUUUCAAAACAGCAAAUGCUGGGGAUAUCCAUUUAAUCACGUUUGUUCUCUCUCCUUUUUGUUUCUCUCUUGCAGGGUGAGAGCUCCAGCGAGGAUCAGCCCGCAGUACUGAGCGGCUGUGGCAGCGAUGGGAGCGUGGAGCUGAGUCCCAGGGGUCUGGGCGAGCACGUUCCCUCGUGCCCAGACCCCGGGGGCUCUUUGCUUGCAGCAGGAGGAUCCUUCUGCCCUUCUAUUGGGGUCAAUGCAGUGCUGCUGCUGGGCUCCCUACCUUCUUUUUCUGGGUUCUGCUGGACUCCCCGAGGCAGAGCGCAGCCCUGGGGGUGCCCACUGCCCCCCUUGGUUGCAGCAGCGGGGGCGUGCAGGAUGGAAUCAUGGUUGUCCCCUCCCUAGCCCUAUUGCUGCUGGGAGUAAGAAGCAACGCCAGGGACAGCUAAGUUGAAAGCAGUGCUUUAAAUCACUUGCUGUGCUUUUAUCUUUUUGAUUUCCCCAAAAAGCUGUUGCAAGGUAAGGUGCUUUGCAGCAGGGAUCAGCCCAGAGAUGCAAGGUUCCCGCUGCACUGGGACUGCAGAGACGAGCACUGGGAUGUGGCGGUGUGAAUCUUUAGUUUUACUCAUGAAUUUUGUUCACAGAACCACAGGAUUGUAGGUGCUGGAAGGGACCUCUGGAGGUAACGAAGUUAACCCCUCUGCAAACUUCAUCAUAGAGGUGCUCCAGGCCCUGCAUCGUCUUUAUGGCCCUCUGCUGGACUCCUUCCAGGAGAUCCCUCUCUUUGUUUGUACUGAGGAGCCUGGAAUGGGAUGCAGUACUGCAGGUGUGCAGCUCUGCAGCCCUUCCUGUGGGACGGCAGCACAGCCUUCCGGUGCAUCAGCUGCUCUUCCAAGGGCCUUGGUUUGUGGGUUCCACUACAGCAGCAGCCCCUCAGAGGAGGUUUGAGGAGCUGUUCUCGCCACAGGGGCAGGGCUGGAGCAAGGUCCUGGUGCUGCCUGUCUAAGGGAGGAAGGCUGCCAGCUGUGCCCUUGUCCCCUGUUGGGGUUGUGGGGUGAUGGAGCUGCUUGGCGUCCAGGAGGAGCUGAGGGGAUCUGGCAGCUGUCUGAUGUUUUGUGUGGCUUCUGUGAGCAGUGCCAAUUGUCCAGCUUUCCCAGGGUGUGGAGGAGCAGCAUGAUGGGGGCUCCCCGUGCGAGACCAAGGAUUUAAGCUGCUGCUGCUGCUCAGAGUGGUGUGGUUCCCCUUCUGUCUGUGGUAAGCUUGAGGUGGAAACAGAAGUGGUAGAUUUCAAAUGUCUGCAGGAGAAGAGAACAUGCUUGAGCUGGAGCUUGAAAUAAUGCUCUUGAGUGGGGAGGCUUGCUGCUUUGCUCUAUCAAAGGAAACAAAAACUAAAUUGGUAAAUCAGUUUAACAAAAAGUACAAAACAGAAAUGCUUCUGAGCCUCUUAUCGUAAGAGACAUAUAAAGAAAUAAAAUGUAGUUUUCUGUAUGUGCCUUAGUCACAGCAAAUAGGAUAAAUGAAAACUGAGAUUCUUUAGCAGAACUAGGAUACAGGAGCGAGUGCUUCUAAACAGAAGUCACUCCAAACAAUUUCUUGUUAUUGCAGGCUUUACCUUUUGCUGUGUCUUAUUCCUUUACUUUGAGCCUAUCUCUGAGUAACUUUAUCAAAAGAGAUUGUGGAUAUUCUCUAAACAAAGAAGCGGGGCUUUAACUUCUCAUAUCAUUGUGAGUGUAUCUGCCUUAUCAGCUUGCAGAAACUGUUUGUUAACUGCCUUUCCCCUGCAGUGCCAAUAAACUUUCCACUCCUCCUGAAUAGAAGUCUCCUCUAUUCCAUUAACAAUCACAUGCAGAAAGAACUUAACUUCUCAAGAAAGCAAACAAUGUUCAUCAAUAUCGAAGUCAAUAUUCAUCAACAGCUAAUGUAACUAACAAUAUCUAACUAAAAUAGCUACUCUAACUAAAUAUCAAGUAAACUGUUGAGUAAACAAUUACGUGCUUUUCUUGAGAGCAAGGCAACUCAUGAGGUUUGAUGUAAAGAGGGAAAAAAAAAUCUGGCACUCACCCUCUAAUGCUUGGAGAUCUGCUCUUCAUCCUCUGCUCCCUUGAAGCUGCUUCAUUUCAGGUACCCUUAUGCAUCUAGAAGAAAGCAAGUAGCUGCAUUGAAGAAUGUUUUCCAAUAUGUACAAGUUUGAUAUUGAUGGUUAAAUGUUAUUAAU